ACCAACCAGCCCAAGAAACAUCUCACCAAUUUCAAAUCCGAAAUCCUUCAUCUAAUCUGGCAAACACAUGUGGCAGGUUUUUCUCACCGCAUAAAAUAUGUUAUAGAGUAGUCCAUCUAUUUCUCUUCCAUGGAAGAGUUCAUCUGGUAGAUUGGACUACCACUUUUCCUUCAGGUCCCGAGUUCUCAUCCCGCAUCCAGGAAGAAUGAGGUUAUGUGGACACCUGGAGGGUGAGCGAGGCUGAGAAAAGCUUUAUUGGGCAACCAGACAGCUCUCAGAAGAGAGGUGACCUGAAGCAGGAUGAGAGACGUUGAGCUCCAAACUCAGACUAAGAAACUAUAAGAAAUAUGCUUCAAUGAAGAAGCUGUUCAAAAAUGAGUAAGAUUGUUUCCUUGAGGCAAGAAAGAAAUGCAGAAGUCUUGACAAACAAAAGAAGAGAUUGCCUUAGGGAAGGGGACUACAGUGAACACUGAGAACUUCUUCCCACGCUAAGACAAUCUUUACAGAGCAAGACUCCGUCUCAAAAAAAAAAAAAAAA
Molecule: long non-coding RNA, 538 nt
Filed under: Homo sapiens (human)
Lineage: Eukaryota; Metazoa; Chordata; Mammalia; Primates; Hominidae
Description: HSALNT0313454
Source: RNAcentral